RNAcentral lists this ribosomal RNA (468 nucleotides) under uncultured bacterium. Its description in RNAcentral is "partial 16S ribosomal RNA". It matches the Rfam family "Bacterial small subunit ribosomal RNA", at positions 28 to 507 of the family's 1533-position model. The record is from RNAcentral.
GACGAACGCUGGCGGCGUGCUUAACACAUGCAAGUCGAACGGAAAGGCCCUGCUUUUGUGGGGUGCUCGAGUGGCGAACGGGUGAGUAAAACGUGAGUAAACUGUCCCUGAAUUUGGGAUAACUUCAGGAAACUCGGGCUCAUAUCGGAUAGGAGCUCUUGCUGCAUGGUGGGGGUUGGAAAGUUUCGGCGGUUGGGGAUGGACUCGCGGGUUAUCAGCCUGUUGGUGGGGUAGUGGCUUACCAAGGCUUUGACGGGUAGCCGGCCUGGGAGGGUGGCCGGCCACAUUGGGACUGAGAGACGGCCCAGUCGCCUACGUGAAGCAGGAGUCGGGAAUAUGGCACAAUGAGCCGAAGCCUGAUACAACAGCGCCGCGUUCGUGAUGACGGCCUUCGAGUGGUAAACCGCUUUCGCCGUUGACGAAGCGGGAGUGACGGUAAUGAGUAAAGAAGCACCGGCUAACUACGUG